UAGAUUUGCUUUUUGCUCCCUUCCUUUUUCUUCACUUGUCCGGGAGGACCUACCACCAUCGUUAUUCCCAACGGCAAUUUUAGGCGUGUGAACUUUCUGCUUCUCAUCGUACAACCUCUUUAAUGUUUUCUUUCCAUCUGAUGUAUC
Non-coding RNA from Caenorhabditis elegans, 147 nucleotides. Lineage: Eukaryota; Metazoa; Nematoda; Chromadorea; Rhabditida; Rhabditidae. The record is from Ensembl.